AUUGAACGCUGGCGGCAUGCCUUACACAUGCAAGUCGAACGGCAGCACGGGAGCAAUCCUGGUGGCGAGUGGCGGACGGGUGAGUAAUAUAUCGGAACGUGCCCAGUCGUGGGGAUAACGUAGCGAAAGCUACGCUAAUACCGCAUACGAUCUAUGGAUGAAAGCGGGGGAUCGCAAGACCUCGCGCGAUUGGAGCGGCCGAUAUCAGAUUAGGUAGUUGGUGAGGUAAAGGCUCACCAAGCCGACGAUCUGUAGCUGGUCUGAGAGGACGACCAGCCACACUGGGACUGAGACACGGCCCAGACUCCUACGGAGGCAGCAGUGGGGAAUUUUUGGACAAUGGGCGCAAGCCUGAUCCAGCAAUGCCGCGUGCAGGAUGAAGGCCUUC
RNAcentral lists this ribosomal RNA (388 nucleotides) under uncultured bacterium. RNAcentral's name for it is "bacterial SSU rRNA". It matches the Rfam family "Bacterial small subunit ribosomal RNA", at positions 30 to 419 of the family's 1533-position model. The record is from RNAcentral.